UCCGGCAUCGCCUCAGCAACCGCGGGGCAGCGGCGGGGCGGGGUUAAGUGGCAGGGCCGGCAGAUUAAAUUUCUCAUCUGCGGUGCUUUAUUUUCAGUGCACGCUUCUUGCAGCAGUAGCCGGAUGGGCAUUUCACACUCUGAAUUGCGCUGUGAGAGUUACUCACGGGCAGGCCGUGAAGCGUAGCACAAGCGUGAGAGGAAAGCGAAUGUCUUUACAAACGAUUUGAGGGGUGGAGUUGAAACAGAUCUGUCACCAGCAAAAGCUGUAAGUGGCAUGACAUUGGUAAAGAGAUAUGGAAAGACAACUGAACUGCUGCAGAUGUGAACUUCAAACAUGACAAGAUUUUUGACUGACAGAAAAGUGGAACAGAGGCAGAAUUCUCCAAGCACAGAAGAAGUAUCAGACUUGCUGGGCAAAGCAGAGGCUAUCUCUAUUUGCUGGAAUAAAAUAGGAAUACAGUGUUGGUAUAUUUGAUAAUGUACAUGCAAACCUGCAAGGAUGAAGCCAUAGCUUUCAAUUUUGCUCCCAUGUGUGUUUUUAGAACUACAUCUGCUUCUGUGACCUGUUGAGUCAGCUGACAGUGAGAUUUUCAAGCCUUCAAGAUACUGGCAAUCCUGGCACAGAGUGUUCUUAUAAAUUCUUCUAUCCUAGUAUAAAAAGAUAUAAAACAUGCAAGUUGUAGUUGGCUUCCAAGGACCAUGACCAGUGUUUUGAUAUUGUCUGAGCAAAUAGGACUGAAACAAGCUAUACUGCCAGGACAGCCAUGUCAACAAGAGUUUCUUCUGAGCUGAUGAAAAAGCCUGUUAGGUUAGGCUUGCAAACUUUCUCUGAACUGCCCAACAAAUGGUUUGAGCCAACUCAAAGCAAGAGUGCAAUUGAAUCAGUGCAAAUGCAUGUUUUAGUCCCAGGGCUGCUGAGCAAGAGUGUUUUGGCAUCAUGUUGGUAACUGGACCUUAAAUUUGAAAUUCCAGCUGAUUUGCAUGCUCCAAAAUAUAGGCAGAGCUUAGUGUUGGUAGAAUUUACCACCUCAUAGAAAGAAUGUGUUUUAUGAUGAUUUGAAAUAAUUUUUGUGCUAUGUUAUGUUAAAUUGUUUAAUGUAUUCUAAAUGUUGUGAAACAAGAUAUUUCAAUAUUAUAAUUGAGUUCUGGCAUUUUCCCUGUGGUUGAAAGGUCACCCUGGUGAUUGUCAAACAUCAUUCUGUUCUGACUGGUCUCUCCUUUGCUAAGUUUACUUUGUAUUUAUUGAGUAUGAUAUUCAUGGUAUAAGGGCACUUCAGUCAAGGAAUGGCUGUUUCAGUUCCACUGCCAAGAGCUUGACAAGUCAAAAUUGUAGGUAGUUUUCAUUCUGAGAUUUGUUAAUAAUUUUUUACUUCUAUAUUCCUCAACUUCUGUAGAGCUACUUGAAUAGCCCUUCAAUGUCAACCAUCAUACGUUAAAAGUAUGUAUGUUUUAGAUGUUUGCUUGACAUCUGGGCAGUUGACUUUUUAAUGUGAGGUUUUUUGAUCAGUUUUUACUCACUAUUAGUAUAAUACUAAUUAUAUCAUACUAAGUAUCAUAUUGCUUUUCAAAGUGAUUCUAGGAUCAGUCUCCUCACUGCUGUUAAGAAACUGCAUAAAUUAGAGGCAUUGGGAUGAUGUGCAUGGUUGAUGCUUGAGGGAUUGUGGGCAGAGCAUAGUUUAAGAGUGUUGUAAAUAGGUUAUUCCAUAUUCAUAUAGAUAAGUGCUACCUGUUGUGCUGUAAAGUUGAAUAUGAGUUGGAACAUGUGUAAGGAGACCAGGAAAGGGGAAAGACUUGUUUAAUCAGUAGUCUCUGAUGCUUGGUUAUUCUGCUUACAGAAUAAGCUUCUGAAAACUACUUGAUAAGUCAUCUGUGUUAAAUUGCUUUUGUUCUUGUUUUCCUUGAA
Molecule: long non-coding RNA, 1905 nt
Organism: Cyanistes caeruleus (blue tit)
Lineage: Eukaryota; Metazoa; Chordata; Aves; Passeriformes; Paridae
Source: RefSeq, a predicted model, not a curated record